This 336-nucleotide ribosomal RNA is filed under the name uncultured bacterium. RNAcentral describes it as "partial 16S ribosomal RNA". It matches the Rfam family "Bacterial small subunit ribosomal RNA", at positions 338 to 691 of the family's 1533-position model. The record is from RNAcentral.
CCUACGGGAGGCUGCAGUAGGGAAUAUUGCUCAAUGGGGGAAACCCUGAAGCAGCAACGCCGCGUGGAGGAUGAAGGUUGUCGGAUGGUAAACUCCUUUUGUUAGAGAAGAGAAUGACGGUAGCUAACGAAUAAGCACCGGCUAACGCCGUGCCAGCAGCCGCGGUAAUACGGAGGGUGCAAGCGUUACUCGGAAUAACUGGGCGUACAGAGCGCGUAGGCGGGAUAGGAAGUCAGAUGUGAAAUCCUAUGGCUUAACCAUAGAACUGCAUUUGAAACUGUUAUUCUAGAGUAUGGGAGAGGUAGGUGGAAUUCUUGGUGUAGAGGUCCCAUCCGU